Molecule: ribosomal RNA, 446 nt
Filed under: uncultured bacterium
Lineage: Bacteria
Description: partial 16S ribosomal RNA
Rfam family: Bacterial small subunit ribosomal RNA
Source: RNAcentral
CCUACGGGUGGCAGCAGUCGAGAAUUAUUCACAAUGGGGGAAACCCUGAUGGUGCGACGCCGCGUGGGGGAAUGAAGUUCUUCGGAUUGUAAACCCCUGUCAUGUGGGAGCAAAUUAAAAAGAUAGUACCACAAGAGGAAGAGACGGCUAACUCUGUGCCAGCAGCCGCGGUAAUACAGAGGUCUCAAGCGUUGUUCGGAAUCACUGGGCGUAAAGCGUGCGUAGGCUGUUUCGUAAGUCGUGUGUGAAAGGCGCGGGCUCAACCCGCGGACGGCACAUGAUACUGCGAGACUAGAGUAAGGGAGGGGGAACCGGAAUUCUCGGUGUAGCAGUGAAAUGCGUAGAUAUCGAGAGGAACACUCGUGGCGAAGGCGGGUUCCUGGACAGUAACUGACGCUGAGGCACGAAGGCCAGGGGAGCGAAAGGGAUUAGAUACCCUGGUAGUC